This 473-nucleotide ribosomal RNA is filed under the name Bacillus thuringiensis. Its description in RNAcentral is "bacterial SSU rRNA". It matches the Rfam family "Bacterial small subunit ribosomal RNA", at positions 1026 to 1502 of the family's 1533-position model. Lineage: Bacteria; Bacillati; Bacillota; Bacilli; Caryophanales; Bacillaceae. The record is from RNAcentral.
ACAGAAUGACAGAUGGUGCAUGGUUGUCGUCAGCUCGUGUCGUGAGAUGUUAGGUUAAGUCCUGCAACGAGCGCAACCCUUUUCUUUAGUUACUAAUAUUAAGUUAAGGACUCUAGAGAUACUGCCUGGGUAACCAGGAGGAAGGUGGGGACGACGUCAAAUCAUCAUGCCUCUUACGAGUGGGGCAACACACGUGCUACAAUGGUCGGUACAAAGAGAAGCAAUAUGGUGACAUGGAGCAAAUCUCAAAAAACCGAUCUCAGUUCGGAUUGAAGUCUGCAACUCGACUUCAUGAAGUCGGAAUCGCUAGUAAUCGUAGAUCAGCUACGCUACGGUGAAUACGUUCUCGGGUUUUGUACACACCGCCCGUCGCACCAUGGGAGUUGGUAAUGCCCAAAGUCGGUGAGUUAACUUCGGAGACCAUUGCCUAAGGCAGGACUGAUGACUGGGGUAAAGUCGUAACAAGGUAUCCC